RNAcentral lists this transfer RNA (73 nucleotides) under Rattus norvegicus (Norway rat). It matches the Rfam family "tRNA". From Rfam's summary of the family: Transfer RNA (tRNA) molecules are approximately 80 nucleotides in length. Their secondary structure includes four short double-helical elements and three loops (D, anti-codon, and T loops). The record is from Rfam by way of RNAcentral. Lineage: Eukaryota; Metazoa; Chordata; Mammalia; Rodentia; Muridae.
GAGAUGAUGGCUCAACAGUUAAGAGCACUGGCUGUUCUUUCAGAGGUCCUGGGUUUAAUUCCCAGCAACCUCA